This 204-nucleotide long non-coding RNA is filed under the name Gossypium barbadense (sea-island cotton). Its description in RNAcentral is "long non-coding RNA (GBAR_LNC005612)". The record is from RNAcentral. Lineage: Eukaryota; Viridiplantae; Streptophyta; Magnoliopsida; Malvales; Malvaceae.
CCAUCACAUGGCCGACCAAAACUAAUAAAAAGGGUGUAAUUGCCCUUUAAAAGCCCUCAAUUUAAGUUCUUUAGCUAUUUAACUCAUUUGGGUACUAAAAUGCAACUUUUGCCUUUUAUGCGAUUUAGUCCUUUUUCGAAAUUGGGCUAGAAAACAUUAAAAUUAUCUCACCAAAUUUUCCAUGCACUAAUAAAAUCAUACUAU